UCUGGCUUUGGGAUUAUCUCGUUUGAUCCGGUUGCCCACGGCCAGCAUCAGGUGGGUUUUACCAAGACCGGUACCACCGUA
RNAcentral lists this antisense RNA (81 nucleotides) under Methylophaga frappieri. RNAcentral's name for it is "Methylophaga sp. JAM7 antisense RNA of dnaA mRNA". It matches the Rfam family "antisense RNA of dnaA mRNA". Lineage: Bacteria; Pseudomonadati; Pseudomonadota; Gammaproteobacteria; Thiotrichales; Piscirickettsiaceae. The record is from Rfam by way of RNAcentral.